GAGAGUGGAGGUUUUGUAAUAAGAGGAAAAAAAGUUAUUAAAAAAAGUUUGGUGGAUUGUGAAAAAUCGGAAGUUGAGAAGUUUCUUUCACUGGUUUUCUGAGAAAGCUGAUGGGCUAGCUUGCUUGCCUCCUAAGCGUCACCGUACUUUCUAUAUCAAGCUAACAUUGAAGUUGUUAUAUCCGGUUUAUUCGGGUCGGGUUAUUCACCAUUG
Arabidopsis thaliana (thale cress) is the source of this 213-nucleotide long non-coding RNA. RefSeq annotates it as other RNA. The transcript has 2 exons. Lineage: Eukaryota; Viridiplantae; Streptophyta; Magnoliopsida; Brassicales; Brassicaceae. The record is from RefSeq.